This 950-nucleotide ribosomal RNA is filed under the name Bacillus safensis. RNAcentral describes it as "bacterial SSU rRNA". It matches the Rfam family "Bacterial small subunit ribosomal RNA", at positions 61 to 972 of the family's 1533-position model. Lineage: Bacteria; Bacillati; Bacillota; Bacilli; Caryophanales; Bacillaceae. The record is from RNAcentral.
GUCGAGCGGACAGAAGGGAGCUUGCUCCCGGAUGUUAGCGGCGGACGGGUGAGUAACACGUGGGUAACCUGCCUGUAAGACUGGGAUAACUCCGGGAAACCGGAGCUAAUACCGGAUAGUUCCUUGAACCGCAUGGUUCAAGGAUGAAAGACGGUUUCGGCUGUCACUUACAGAUGGACCCGCGGCGCAUUAGCUAGUUGGUGGGGUAAUGGCUCACCAAGGCGACGAUGCGUAGCCGACCUGAGAGGGUGAUCGGCCACACUGGGACUGAGACACGGCCCAGACUCCUACGGGAGGCAGCAGUAGGGAAUCUUCCGCAAUGGACGAAAGUCUGACGGAGCAACGCCGCGUGAGUGAUGAAGGUUUUCGGAUCGUAAAGCUCUGUUGUUAGGGAAGAACAAGUGCGAGAGUAACUGCUCGCACCUUGACGGUACCUAACCAGAAAGCCACGGCUAACUACGUGCCAGCAGCCGCGGUAAUACGUAGGUGGCAAGCGUUGUCCGGAAUUAUUGGGCGUAAAGGGCUCGCAGGCGGUUUCUUAAGUCUGAUGUGAAAGCCCCCGGCUCAACCGGGGAGGGUCAUUGGAAACUGGGAAACUUGAGUGCAGAAGAGGAGAGUGGAAUUCCACGUGUAGCGGUGAAAUGCGUAGAGAUGUGGAGGAACACCAGUGGCGAAGGCGACUCUCUGGUCUGUAACUGACGCUGAGGAGCGAAAGCGUGGGGGAGCGAACAGGAUUAGAUACCCUGGUAGUCCACGCCGUGAUACCCUGGUAGUCCACGCCGUAAACGAUGAGUGCUAAGUGUUAGGGGGUUUCCGCCCCUUAGUGCUGCAGCUAACGCAUUAAGCACUCCGCCUGGGGGAGUACGGGUCGCAGACUGAAACUCAAAGGAAUUGACGGGGCCGGCACAGCGGAUGGAGCAUGUGAUUACUCGAGCCACGCGCGGAAGAAC